CACAGCUGCUCCUAGCUUGGUGUCAUCUGCAAACUCACUGCUGCUGGACUCAAUGCCCUGCUCCAGAUCAUCAGUAAAGAUAUUGAACAGGACUGUGCCCAGCACUGCUCCCUAGGGCACACCACCAGUGCCAGCUGCCAGCUGGAUGUGGCACCAUUCACCACCACUCUCUGUUCCCAGCCUUGCAGCCAGUUCUUGACCCAUACCAGAGUGACUCUGUCCCAGCCAGGAGCUGCCAGCUGGGCCAGCAGCUGCUUGUGGCAGACAGUGCUGAAGCAAAGAGCAAACUCCCAAGGUACAGCAGCUGAAGUUGACUGCAAAGGAAGCCAAAGUUCCCUACAGAAGAAAAAAGGCAAAUGUAUGGAAACUAAGGAGCAAUGAAGAGGUCUGUGCCAUGAAAGCCUAUUUACAUAAUCCAGGCUGUCACAGCAAACAGGCUCUGCCUGAGUCCCUCUCCUGCCACACUCAUGAAAUACUUAAAGGCUUCCCAAGAUGCUAUUUGAAGCCACAUUCUGGGCAGGUUCUCUUCUCUGCAGCCAGUGAGGACACUGAUAAAUUUGGGGUUGCUUUCUCUGCUUUUCAUUUCCACCACUCUCCUGUUCAGCUGCUGUUCACUGAUGCUGCCCUGCUACCAAAUAAACCCCAAACCAUGAAGCUGUGGGUUUGGCUCUGCUCUUUGACAGACAACAGAAAUAACAACACAUGGAUCUGAUGAUUCUCUGUGAGAUGUGAUUUUUUUCCUCCCCUCCCCUGUGGAUUGUCCCAGCAGAAGUAAGGUGUCAAUGGGAUGUGAAUUAAAACAGAUUAAAUACCUGCCAAGAUGUGCACCAGAGGUGCUUUUUUCCCCCCUCUACUGCUGGCAUUAUUUUGCCUUCUCAAAGCUCAAACCCAAGCAAUUCCUUUCUGAACAGCCAAGCUAAAGCUACAAGAACUAAGGGGCAUGAGCAGAAACAAUCCAACCAGCCUGCUGCUCCUGGGUCUUAACCUCAGCCUCUCCCAUUUUACACCCUCAGGCAAGUAAGGGUCUUCCUUACCUGCCCUCAUAAGCAGUGCAACAAUUACCAACUUCUCAGCUGAGGAAUAUUUCUGCUCCAGGGCUCCAACUGAGACCUUCAGUGUCAACCAAUGCAUUGUGUGUGGGCAGCUGAAGGUGAAGGAGACGAUCAGAGGAGCAUCCAGGGCUGCGCUUCUGACGCUGCGCCCGGCUCAGGCUUGGCAUUUGAGAACUCAGGAAACAAACCAACUUCCUCAUCACAGCUCAGUGUCUCCUCAUCACAGCUCAGUGUCUCCUCAUCAGCUUCACUCACAGGCAUAUAGAAACCUGGAACCCUGCAGGAGGUGAAAACUGCCUCCCCCUUGUAUGUGUCUUUGUUCGGGAGCGCGCAGAGCGCACCUGCAACGUUCUCCCACGGGCCAGGGCCCUGGGAGCAGUUGAGGUCUUCACUGACCAGCUGAAGGACACUUUGGACUAGGACUCAAGCUCUUCAGCUCAACUCUAGCACAGCCACACCAUGCUGCUGCUGCUCAGAUGGUUCAGAGAAGCCUUCUGGCCACGUCACUCUCAGAAGAACCCAGCCUCCUCGUUCCCUCUGCACACCAAGCUUUUCAUUGUUGGGCUGCGGCUGCUCCUCCCUAGUCAGCCAAGCAGAAGCAGCUCUGUAGGCAGACUCAUGAUGCCUCCCUCCCAGCCCCUUUCCUACCCCCACCCCAGACUCAGCAGCACUCCUGCUGACACUUCCAGGGAAGAGGAGAGCCAGGUCCACUGCGGUGUGCAGAGGCAGAGGCUGAGCAGCUGCGAUGGGAACACCUUCACCUGCUGGGAUGCUGUCCUUGCUGGUACAGCAGAGUCACAAAACACCAAAAGUUGUGUAGAUCCUACUUCUCAGGUUUCAGCAGGACCUCUCCCCACGCAUGCGAGCGGCUCCACCUGUGCGCGUCGUGGGUUGGAGGUGUUCUCCACCAGGCUUUCUGCUGCUUGGCCUCGUUUCUGCAUCUCUCUCUCAUGUCCUCACUGAACUUUUUGUGCAGCUGAACCUGAGAAUAAAUUAUUAUGAAAUAGAA
Molecule: long non-coding RNA, 2061 nt
Organism: Pogoniulus pusillus (Red-fronted tinkerbird)
Lineage: Eukaryota; Metazoa; Chordata; Aves; Piciformes; Lybiidae
Exons: 2
Source: RefSeq, a predicted model, not a curated record